GCCGGGCGUGGUGCCUCACACCUGUAAUCCCAGCACUUUGGGAGGCUGAGGCGGGUGGAUCACCUGAGGUCAGGAGUUCAAGACCAGCCUGGCCAACAUGGUGAAACCCCGUCUCUA
Unclassified non-coding RNA from Papio anubis (olive baboon), 117 nucleotides. It matches the Rfam family "Metazoan signal recognition particle RNA". Rfam says of the family: The signal recognition particle (SRP) is a universally conserved ribonucleoprotein. It is involved in the co-translational targeting of proteins to membranes. The eukaryotic SRP consists of a 300-nucleotide 7S RNA and six proteins: SRPs 72, 68, 54, 19, 14, and 9. Lineage: Eukaryota; Metazoa; Chordata; Mammalia; Primates; Cercopithecidae. The record is from Ensembl.